GUACGUCUCGCACAAGAAACACGGCAAAACUCGUAUUCCGCGCCUUCGAAGAAAAGGCGUCGAGGCGUUGCGCGCCUAUUGCCGUCCCGACAGCUUUUGUCACGACGUUCCGCGGGAGCGCCGAAAAACAAAACCCGUGCACACGUGUUUGGACUUAUUUCUCUUAUACUGUAAAAACCGGCAACGUCGCACGACGUUCGAAAUAGCACACACAAGCCAGCUUGCAACUUUCACCGCAACGGAGUCACAAAACCCAGUGUGAAUUACCAUCUAGCUUCAAGUUUGUCCUGUAGGAAAAUACAUGAGGAUCUCUACGUUUUCUAGUGACUGUAAUCAAUCCAUUCAACUAUGUCGCUCAGCGUUCUGCUACCAGAGAGCGCAUCCGUUUAUAGAGGAACUCGGCCAUUUUCUACCGUACAACUAUAACCUGUACGUGUUGCAGACCGUAAGGACGCAAUGGCUUCCCGAUACGCUUCGUGUCUUGCAUCAUCCUUUUACCAAGAUGGCCUCGCCUGCCACUCGAGACUUCACUGACUCGCCCACUACUGUCUCGCAGCCAGAACAUAACCAUGGAGGAUCAGAAACUCACUUGGACUAGACUUUAAACCUCUUGAUUAUGCAGGCGUCGACCUGCACUGGGAACGGAAGCCAUUCGCCUGCUUUCAUCGUGUCUCACAAGAGGAAUGGAGGAAAGACGUUUCUGUGGAAUGAAGCAAGUCUGAACGCGUUCGUACUCGGAGUUGUUCUGACGUGCGGCGAUGCGUCACGGAUUGGAUAAUGAUUGUCCUCCCUUACUGGGAAUUCCCUGGGAGAAUUAUACUCAUCGUAUAAUAAUCAUAAACGGAAUAAAUUUUUUAAGUGUA
This is a long non-coding RNA of Cephus cinctus (wheat stem sawfly), 863 nucleotides long. RefSeq lists it as uncharacterized. The record is from RefSeq and is a predicted model, not a curated record. The transcript has 2 exons. Lineage: Eukaryota; Metazoa; Arthropoda; Insecta; Hymenoptera; Cephidae.